RNAcentral lists this unclassified non-coding RNA (898 nucleotides) under Hevea brasiliensis (rubber tree). Lineage: Eukaryota; Viridiplantae; Streptophyta; Magnoliopsida; Malpighiales; Euphorbiaceae. The record is from RNAcentral.
GAGUAGAGGAAUUUUGGUGCAAAUAUGUUAAAUACAUGUGGUUUUUUUGCCUUGCCUUUUUACAGCAUGCGAGGAAUACCAACAUUAGCAUAUCCCUGUUGUGGUACAAUGAUGAAAUUAAUACAAGACCUCUAAUACUGAACUAAGAAGUUGCAUGCAGGGUCUCUCCAAUUGUCAUUUCCAAGUUGGGUUUAGCAAGUGGCAUUCUUACUCGACAUUAUUCCCCCCAGUCUCCUACCUUCUCUUUCAAAAUAACCAGCCAAAGGAAGGGGAAGUUGAUUGAGAUUUGUUGCUCUCAGCCGUCUAUAAAUUCUUCAUUGCUUGUUUUUGGCAAGCAGGAAGAGUCACAGGGACUAUCUGUUUGCAUCGGACACUUGGAAUUAUUGAUGUGAUCCUAGGAUUGCUGAGUGUAGGACCUUGGUAGAUUGCUAGGUUUUGUGUGCUAGUAAGGAAACAAAAGGGCGUGACGUAUAGUUGUUUUGUGCAAUACAGUAAAAUAAGCUUUCCCCGUGCCAAAUCCCGAAGGACUUAAUUGGAGAUGGUUUCAUCACAUGAAUGUUUAAAUCUAUGGAUAUAUGGCAUAUAUACAAGUGAGAUCAUGCUCGAUUUUAUUUGACAUAUUUGCAUAAAAACCAUGGAAGGAAAUUGUGAGUUGAAGACAUGAAAUAUGACUAACAAACUAAAGGAGUAUAGACUUAAUGUAAGAAUCUUGUGGUUUUUUGUGUUUUGGAUGUGACAGAUGUACCUGCCCUAGGCACUCAAUAUUUUCACCUGUUAAAGGAACAAUUUUGCUCACAAGAGUCAACAAAUGCGAGUAGUGGCUCUCAUUGUACUGCACUCACAGUCAUAACUAUUUUGCUGGCUGUUAAAAUUCAAUCAUGCUAGUCAGAAGAUUUUU